This 413-nucleotide ribosomal RNA is filed under the name uncultured bacterium. RNAcentral's name for it is "bacterial SSU rRNA". It matches the Rfam family "Bacterial small subunit ribosomal RNA", at positions 355 to 776 of the family's 1533-position model. The record is from RNAcentral.
UGGGGAAUAUUGCGCAAUGGGCGGAAGCCUGACGCAGCGACGCCGCGUGGGGGAUGACGGCCUUCGGGUUGUAAACCUCUUUCAGCAGGGACGAAGCCUUUACCGGUGACGGUACCUGCAGAAGAAGCACCGGCCAACUACGUGCCAGCAGCCGCGGUAAUACGUAGGGUGCAAGCGUUGUCCGGAAUUAUUGGGCGUAAAGAGCUCGUAGGCGGUUGGUCGCGUCGGCUGUGAAAACCCGGAGCUCAACUCCGGGCCUGCAGUCGAUACGGGCCGACUUGAGUGUUGCAGGGGAGACUGGAAUUCCUGGUGUAGCGGUGAAAUGCGCAGAUAUCAGGAGGAACACCGGUGGCGAAGGCGGGUCUCUGGGCAACAACUGACGCUGAGGAGCGAAAGCGUGGGGAGCGAACAGG